CCCGCCGCCGCCGGCGAGGUACCGCGAGCAGGGAACCGCGGUGACAAACCCGGCUUCCACAGCCACAGCUGGCGCGGGAACCUACACAGCUGGCGCGGGAACCUACGGCCGCGCGGGUUACGGCGGCUACGGAUCCGCGUAUGGGUCCACAGCGUACGGGGGCGGCGGCUACGGGGGAUACGGUGGAUACGGCGGCGUUGGAUCGUACGGCGGCUACGGCGG
Molecule: long non-coding RNA, 222 nt
Filed under: Micromonas commoda
Lineage: Eukaryota; Viridiplantae; Chlorophyta; Mamiellophyceae; Mamiellales; Mamiellaceae
Description: long non-coding RNA (MCOM_LNC000300)
Source: RNAcentral